This is a long non-coding RNA of Megalobrama amblycephala (Wuchang bream), 382 nucleotides long. RefSeq lists it as uncharacterized. The transcript is spliced from 3 exons. The record is from RefSeq and is a predicted model, not a curated record. Lineage: Eukaryota; Metazoa; Chordata; Actinopteri; Cypriniformes; Xenocyprididae.
UUAGAUGCUGCUUCCGCAGAUCUGUGAAGGGCCUGUCAAGUAUCAGCUGUACUGCUUCUCGUCUCCAUGGGCUGAUAGACUCUCGAGAGACGGCAGACAAAUGACCCUCACCGUCCCCACCAUCCAACAACUCCUUAAUCAUGGCCCCUGAAAAGCUCUUGAUCCCUACCAUAACAAGACCACCCCCAUCAGCAAUCACUCGCAGGCGUGGGGAUAAUUAGCAUGUUGAAUGCAUGGAUGACGAAAGAUCUGGAAAGCAUCUGUGGAAUCUGUGAAUCAACCUCCAUGCUGUGAAUCAUCUGCAGUUCCUUAGGCAGCAUAUGCGACCACACAUUUCCUUGUGCCCUAAGCUACGUAUUGUAGGUGACACUCUGUUAGACAA